RNAcentral lists this small nuclear RNA (340 nucleotides) under Myotis davidii. RNAcentral's name for it is "7SK RNA". It matches the Rfam family "7SK RNA". From Rfam's summary of the family: 7SK was discovered as an abundant small nuclear RNA in the mid-70s but a possible function has only recently been suggested. Two independent studies have found that 7SK RNA binds the CDK9/cyclin T complex (known as elongation factor P-TEFb). P-TEFb activates transcription by phosphorylating the C-terminal domain of RNA polymerase II. The record is from Rfam by way of RNAcentral. Lineage: Eukaryota; Metazoa; Chordata; Mammalia; Chiroptera; Vespertilionidae.
GGAUUUGAGGGCGAGCUGGCUGCGCGACAUCUGUCACCCCAUUGAUCACUAGGGUUGAUUUGGCUGAUCUGGCUGCCUAGGCGAGUGUCCUCUCAUCCCACACCCAUCUAUGUGUAUCCCUCCCUUAACUGCGUGCUGGGUCAGAAGACAGCCUUACCCCCAGAGGAGAAGACUGGUCUUCCGUCAAGGGUAUAUGAGAAGCUGAGCUUCCCUGAUAGAACCUUCAAACAAGCUCUCAAACAUGCCGUCUUCAUCACUUUAUAGUUGUUUUUUAAGGAAGAGCAGAGUAGAAGGAUGAAAUAAUAUGCAAAUAUCAGAUACCCCACAUUGUGUUUUAUUU